GAUGAACGCUGGCGGCGUGCUUAACACAUGCAAGUCGAACGAAACACCUUAUUUGAUUUUCUUCGGAACUGAGGGUUUGGUGAUUGAGUGGCGGACGGGUGAGUAACGCGUGGGUAACCUGCCCUGUACAGGGGGAUAACAGUCAGAAAUGACUGCUAAUACCGCAUAAGAACACAGCACCCCAUGGUGCUGGGGUGAAAAGUCCGGUGGUACAGGAGGGAGCCGCGUCGGAUUAGCUGGUGGGUGAGGUAACGGGUCACCAAGGCGAGGAUCGGUAGCCGGGUAGUGAGAGAGAACGCACACAUUGGGAGUAGGCCACAGUCGGAAAUCUUGCGGGAGGCAGCAGUGGGUGAUAUUGCACAAUCGGGGAAGUGCAGAAGCAGCGACGCCGGGUGAGUCAAGAAGUAUGUCGGUAAGUAAAGCACUAUCAGCAGGGAAGGAAAUGACGGUACCUGACGAAGAAGCCCCGGCUAACUACGUG
Molecule: ribosomal RNA, 481 nt
Filed under: uncultured bacterium
Lineage: Bacteria
Description: partial 16S ribosomal RNA
Rfam family: Bacterial small subunit ribosomal RNA
Source: RNAcentral